RNAcentral lists this ribosomal RNA (497 nucleotides) under uncultured bacterium. RNAcentral's name for it is "partial 16S ribosomal RNA". It matches the Rfam family "Bacterial small subunit ribosomal RNA", at positions 28 to 507 of the family's 1533-position model. The record is from RNAcentral.
GAUGAACGCUGGCGGCGUGCCUAAUACAUGCAAGUCGAGCGAACGGACGAGAAGCUUGCUUCUCUGAUGUUAGCGGCGGACGGGUGAGUAACACGUGGAUAACCUACCUAUAAGACUGGGAUAACUUCGGGAAACCGUAGCUAAUACCGGAUAAUAUUUUGAACCGCAUGGUUCAAAAGUGAAAGACGGUAUUGCUGUCACUUAUAGAUGGAUCCGCGCUGCAUUAGCUAGUUGGUAAGGUAACGGGUUACCAAGGCAACGAUGCAUAGCCGACCUGAGAGGGUGAUCGGCCACACGGAAACUGAGACACGGCCCAGACUCCUACGGGAGGCAGCAGUAGGGAAUCUUCCGCAAUGGGCGAAAGCCUGACGGAGCAACGCCGCGUGAGUGAUGAAGGUCUUCGGAUCGUAAAACUCUGUUAUUAGGGAAGAACAUAUGUGUAAGUAACUGUGCACAUCUUGACGGUACCUAAUCAGAAAGCCACGGCUAACUACGUG